AGGACGAACGCUGGCGGCGUGCUUAACACAUGCAAGUCGAGCGGAAAGGCCCUUCGGGGUACUCGAGCGGCGAACGGGUGAGUAACACGUGGGCAACCUGCCCCUAGCUCUGGGAUAACUCCGGGAAACCGGGGCUAAUACCGGAUACGAUCUUCCACGGCAUCUCGGAAGAUGGAAAGUUUUUUCGGCUAGGGAUGGGCCCGCGGCCUAUCAGCUUGUUGGUGAGGUAACGGCCCACCAAGGCGACGACGGGUA
RNAcentral lists this ribosomal RNA (255 nucleotides) under uncultured soil bacterium. RNAcentral describes it as "partial 16S ribosomal RNA". It matches the Rfam family "Bacterial small subunit ribosomal RNA", at positions 26 to 285 of the family's 1533-position model. The record is from RNAcentral.